RNAcentral lists this ribosomal RNA (490 nucleotides) under uncultured bacterium. RNAcentral's name for it is "bacterial SSU rRNA". It matches the Rfam family "Bacterial small subunit ribosomal RNA", at positions 791 to 1277 of the family's 1533-position model. The record is from RNAcentral.
UAGUCCACGCCGUAAACGAUGUCUACUUGGAGGUUGUGGCCUUGAGCCGUGGCUUUCGGAGCUAACGCGUUAAGUAGAUCGCCUGGGGAGUACGGUCGCAAGAUUAAAACUCAAAUGAAUUGACGGGGGCCCGCACAAGCGGUGGAGCGUGUGGUUUAAUUCGAUGCAACGCGAAGAACCCUACCUACUCUUGACAUCCAGAGAAGCUUGAAGAGAUUCGAGUGUGCCUUCGGGAACUCUGAGACAGGUGCUGCAUGGCUGUCGUCAGCUCGUGUUGUGAAAUGUUGGGUUAAGUCCCGCAACGAGCGCAACCCUUAUCCUUGUUUGCCAGCACGUAAUGGUGGGAACUCCAGGGAGACUGCCGGUGAUAAACCGGGAGGAAGGUGGGGACGACGUCAAGUCAUCGUGGGCCCUUACGAGUAGGGGCUACACACGUGCUACAAUGGCGUAUACAGAGGGCUGUAAGCUAGCGAUAGUGAGCGAAUCCCAG